GUGUCAGCAGCCGCGGUAAUACGGGGGGGGCAAGCGUUGUUCGGAAUUACUGGGCGUAAAGGGCUCGUAGGUGGUCAACUAAGUCAUACGUGAAAUCCCUCGGCUUAACCGGGGAACUGCGCCUUAUACUGGUUGACUUGAGUUUGGGAGAGGGACGCGGAAUUCCAGGUGUAGCGGUGAAAUGCGUAGAUAUCUGGAGGAACACCGGUGGCGAAGGCGGCGUCCUGGACCAAUACUGACACUGAGGAGCGAAAGCCAGGGGAGCAAACGGGAUUAGAUACCCCUGUAGUCC
This 292-nucleotide ribosomal RNA is filed under the name uncultured bacterium. RNAcentral describes it as "partial 16S ribosomal RNA". It matches the Rfam family "Bacterial small subunit ribosomal RNA", at positions 505 to 796 of the family's 1533-position model. The record is from RNAcentral.